GUUGAUAAGGUUAAGUGAAUAAGGGCGCACGGUGGAUGCCUUGGCACUAGGAGCCGAUGAAGGACGGGACUAACACCGAUAUGCUUUGGGGAGCUGUACGUAAGCUAUGAUCCAGAGAUUUCCGAAUGGGGGAACCCAACAUCUUUAAUAGGAUGUUACGAUUGUGUGAAUACAUAGCACAUUCGAGGUAGACGCAGAGAACUGAAACAUCUAAGUACCUGCAGGAAGAGAAAGAAAAAUCGAUUCCCUGAGUAGCGGCGAGCGAAACGGGAAAAGCCCAAACCAACAAGCUUGCUUGUUGGGGUUGUAGGACUCCAAUAUGGUCGUUCUUUCAGAUAGUCGAAUGACUUGGAAAAGUCAGUCAAAGAGGGUAAAAACCCCGUAGACGAAAUGUGGAAGACACCUAGGAGGAUCCUGAGUACGGCGGAACACGAGAAAUUCCGUCGGAAUCCGGGAGGACCAUCUCCCAAGGCUAAAUACUCCCUAGUGACCGAUAGUGAACCAGUACCGUGAGGGAAAGGUGAAAAGCACCCCGGAAGGGGAGUGAAAUAGAACCUGAAACCGUGUGCCUACAACAAGUCAAAGCCCGUUAAUGGGUGAUGGCGUGCCUUUUGUAGAAUGAACCGGCGAGUUACGAUUGCAUGCGAGGUUAAGUUGAAGAGACGGAGCCGCAGCGAAAGCGAGUCUGAAUAGGGCGUUUGAGUAUGUAGUCGUAGACCCGAAACCAUGUGAUCUACCCAUGUCCAGGUUGAAGGUGCGGUAAAACGCACUGGAGGACCGAACCCACGUACGUUGAAAAGUGCGGGGAUGAGGUGUGGGUAGCGGAGAAAUUCCAAACGAACUUGGAGAUAGCUGGUUCUCUCCGAAAUAGCUUUAGGGCUAGCCUCGGAAUUGAGAAUGAUGGAGGUAGAGCACUGUUUGGACUAGGGGCCCAUCUCGGGUUACCGAAUUCAGAUAAACUCCGAAUGCCAUUCAUUCAUAUCCGGGAGUCAGACUGUGAGUGAUAAGAUCCAUAGUCGAAAGGGAAACAGCCCAGACCACCAGCUAAGGUCCCAAAAUAUAUGUUAAGUGGAAAAGGAUGUGGGGUUGCACAGACAACUAGGAUGUUGGCUUAGAAGCAGCCACCAUUUAAAGAGUGCGUAAUAGCUCACUAGUCGAGUGACCCUGCGCCGAAAAUGUACCGGGGCUAAACAUAUUACCGAAGCUGUGGAGUACACCUUUAGGUGUAUUGGUAGGAGAGCGUUCUAAGGGCGUCGAAGGCAGAUCGUGAGGACUGCUGGAGCGCUUAGAAGUGAGAAUGCCGGUAUGAGUAGCGAAAGACAGGUGAGAAUCCUGUCCACCGAAUGACUAAGGUUUCCUGGGGAAGGCUCGUCCGCCCAGGGUUAGUCGGGACCUAAGCCGAGGCCGAUAGGCGUAGGCGAUGGAUAACAGGUUGAUAUUCCUGUACCCGUUGUUUUUGUUUGAGCAAUGGAGGGACGCAGG
RNAcentral lists this ribosomal RNA (1482 nucleotides) under Enterococcus faecium. Its description in RNAcentral is "partial 23S ribosomal RNA". It matches the Rfam family "Bacterial large subunit ribosomal RNA", at positions 1 to 1478 of the family's 2925-position model. The record is from RNAcentral. Lineage: Bacteria; Bacillati; Bacillota; Bacilli; Lactobacillales; Enterococcaceae.